RNAcentral lists this unclassified non-coding RNA (328 nucleotides) under Hevea brasiliensis (rubber tree). The record is from RNAcentral. Lineage: Eukaryota; Viridiplantae; Streptophyta; Magnoliopsida; Malpighiales; Euphorbiaceae.
UGAAUUUGAUAAGGAGGAGACAUUGAAGCAUUUUGAUAAUGUUGCGCAGCGUGAGCAGGCACCUGAGUUAUUUCGAGUUCUUGGAUUUGCAGAUAAAGCUCAUGACUUUAUCCAGAAGCUUAUUGGCAAAAAUAAGAUACUUGAGGCUGUUCCUUUCAUAUUUGCCUUUGGUCUAGUUGAUAAAUUCCCUCCAGUGCCCCUGCUUAGACUGCAUGCAGAGCGUGCUGAGAAGAAUUAUAAAAAGAUUUGCAGCAAGGGAAAUAAUUCUUCAAAGGCGCUGGAUGAUGCUACAGGUACAGAAAUAGCUGCUCUGAGAGGUAUACUAGGA